Molecule: unclassified non-coding RNA, 276 nt
Filed under: Hevea brasiliensis (rubber tree)
Lineage: Eukaryota; Viridiplantae; Streptophyta; Magnoliopsida; Malpighiales; Euphorbiaceae
Source: RNAcentral
UUUUGCUUUUAGGGCACCAAUUGCAUGGGCUUGAGCGAUGCCUGAGCUUCGCAGGGGUGUUCGCAGAGGCCGCGCAGGGUUAGCGCCGCAAAACAGGCAAUCGGACCCUCCGCGGGUGCAAAAUUACGUGAAGACCCGUGCUGCUGUAGCUAGAGAGAGGAAGAGGCCGAGGACUAGAUUGGAAACGCAAAGAUUGAAGGAGAAACAAGAGGAUACUAAGGUAAUUGAGAUAUCGGAGAGGGAAGUUAGUGAUUUUUUGAUUUUGGAGAGGAAAAA